Molecule: signal recognition particle RNA, 288 nt
Filed under: Carlito syrichta (Philippine tarsier)
Lineage: Eukaryota; Metazoa; Chordata; Mammalia; Primates; Tarsiidae
Description: Metazoan signal recognition particle RNA (ENSTSYG00000031583.1)
Rfam family: Metazoan signal recognition particle RNA
About the family: The signal recognition particle (SRP) is a universally conserved ribonucleoprotein. It is involved in the co-translational targeting of proteins to membranes.
Source: RNAcentral
GCUCAGAAAAAUUAAGUGGCGUACUCCUGUAGUCCCGACUACUUGGGAGGCUGAGGCAGGAGGAUCACUUGAGCUCAGAGUGCUCAUGCUCAUUGGCGUCUGCACUGAGUGCAGCAUCAAUAUGGUGACCUCUCGGGGGCAAGGGACCACCAGGUUGCCUAAGGAGGAGUGAAAUGGUCCAGGUUGGAAACGGCUCAGGUAAAAACUCCCAUGCUGAUUAGUGGUGGGAUUGUGCCUGUGUGUAGCCACUACGCUACCGCUUGGGCAACGUAGCGAGACCUCAUCUCU